Molecule: ribosomal RNA, 253 nt
Filed under: uncultured bacterium
Lineage: Bacteria
Description: partial 16S ribosomal RNA
Rfam family: Bacterial small subunit ribosomal RNA
Source: RNAcentral
UACGGGGGGGGCAAGCGUUGUUCGGAAUUACUGGGCGUAAAGGGUUAGUAGGUGGCCAACUAAGUCAGACGUGAAAUCCCUCAGCUUAACUGGGGAACUGCGUCUGAGACUGAUUGGCUCGAGGACAGGAGAGGAACGCGGAAUUCCAGGUGUAGCGGUGAAAUGCGUAGAUAUCUGGAGGAAGACCAGUGGCGAAGGCGGGUCUCUGGACAGUUCCUGACACUGAGACACGAAGGCCAGGGGAGCAAACGGG